Trichosurus vulpecula (common brushtail) is the source of this 312-nucleotide long non-coding RNA. RefSeq lists it as uncharacterized. The record is from RefSeq and is a predicted model, not a curated record. NCBI's taxonomy places the organism in Eukaryota, Metazoa, Chordata, Mammalia, Diprotodontia, Phalangeridae. The transcript has 3 exons.
GAGGGGGUUUGAACAAAAUUCUGAAAAUCGAGAAAAAGGAGCGAGGAGUGAAAACCAUUGUUGGAUGCACUUGGUUUUAACCUCGACAGCGCCACCUUUCGGCAAAGCUGUUCCCGGUUGCAAGUUGAAGCCUCUUUCCCUUUGAAGACACAUCCUUUAUAAUUUUUAUUAGAGAGCCUAAUGGAUGAACAAGUAUGGGUGCAAACCAGUGAAUUGGAAGGUUGUCUUGGUGUCUUGGUAAGAAGUAUUGAACUCUUAAUCAGAGGGGUCAGAAGACCUAGGUUCAGAUCCCAGCUCUAUACAUAGCUGAUG